GGGGUUGUAGCUCAGUGGUAGAGCACUUGCCUAGCAUGUGCAAGGCCCUGGGUUCGAUCCUCAGCACCA
RNAcentral lists this transfer RNA (69 nucleotides) under Marmota marmota marmota (Alpine marmot). It matches the Rfam family "tRNA". Rfam says of the family: Transfer RNA (tRNA) molecules are approximately 80 nucleotides in length. Their secondary structure includes four short double-helical elements and three loops (D, anti-codon, and T loops). Lineage: Eukaryota; Metazoa; Chordata; Mammalia; Rodentia; Sciuridae. RNAcentral also lists the same sequence under 4 other names. The record is from Rfam by way of RNAcentral.